UGCAAACCGUUGAUGCGGAGAUAACGGCGAUGAUGCUUCUACAGAGAGUCUGCGAUGCUGAGAUGCAGAUGAAAAACAAGUCGUCAAAUGGACCGCUGAGGGCGCAGGGAAAGCCGUGGGGCAAGUAUUCUGCGACGUGAGGGCAUACGUCAGUUGCCGGGGAUAUGUUGGUAUCCCGACAAGGGUAUGGUUUUACCAUAAAACAGGGUGGCACCGCGGAGUUUAUGAUUUCGUCCCUGGC
RNAcentral lists this non-coding RNA (241 nucleotides) under Lachnospiraceae bacterium. RNAcentral's name for it is "T-box sequence". It matches the Rfam family "T-box leader". From Rfam's summary of the family: Uncharged tRNA acts as the effector for transcription antitermination of genes in the T-box leader family. Lineage: Bacteria; Bacillati; Bacillota; Clostridia; Lachnospirales; Lachnospiraceae. The record is from RNAcentral.